Molecule: long non-coding RNA, 375 nt
Organism: Leopardus geoffroyi (Geoffroy's cat)
Lineage: Eukaryota; Metazoa; Chordata; Mammalia; Carnivora; Felidae
Exons: 4
Source: RefSeq, a predicted model, not a curated record
CUGAAUACCACUAUGGGAGCAUUAGAACACCUACACUGCAAUAAAAGAAUCAACUGUGUGAUGUGUAUGCAAGUAACCAGAACUGACAGGACAUGUGACCUAGGACUACUGACCUCCUGCCUGGGCAAAGCAGAGAACACAUGCAACACAACCUAAACUUUUCUGGAGUACUUAACAGUUUUCUGACGAUCAGUUAAUAUACUCCUCAGAAGCUACUGCAGUAGGAACAGCUGUUUGAAACACAAAUGGUUCAGAUCAUAAAGUAAAAGAGCAGGAAUAUGUGCUUAAAUAAAAAGGAAAUUCUCGAAGAAUGCGGUAAAAAGUGCAAGGAAAGACACAAGCUGAAUGCCAUCAAAACAGACACAUACACGUGGA